CGAUUUUCCAGCUCUUCCGUUCGCAAGCGUCUCAGCCCGUAUCAACUGCGAUCCAGCCGUCCCGACUUCAGCCAUCUGAGAUUGCAUCCAGAAUUCCAGCAUGCCACGUCCGCGUGCAAAAUCCACCGUGAUCUCAGCGUAUGCGUCCCAGCUCUUCCGUCUUCCUCGCAGUCCACACAUCUUAACAUCAGCGAUUCAUCCGUGAAGCCUCCCAGCAUGCCACGUCCGAAUCUCCCAGCAUCACAACGUCUGCAAGCAUCUUCUGCGAGCCAUUCACGGUUCAGAUCUCCCAAGCUACCACCGAGCGUCCAUGCUCCAGCUUCUCCCGUGAAGCUUCCCAUUUCCGCAUCCUCCGAACCAGCAUCCGAUUCUUCCGGGAUUCGCAAUCAUCCGAGUCCCAGUCAAGUAUCCGCUUUCGAAUCUCCCGCGCCCAACGCCUGCGAUCGUUCCGUGAUCCAAAUCCCAUGAUUCCGCGUUCGGAUAUUUCGCAACUGGAUCAGGGAUCCAUCGCACGAGCUAUAUGAGGCUUUCGCUCGGCUGGGGGGAUGUUAUUCCUUCCCAUUCGGUGAAACAGAGGAGUAGCCCUCUGUCAAAAGAAAAAAAAAGAAAGGGAAACAGGGCCUCCCCUGUUUCCGAAAAGAAAAAGAAAAAAAUGAAAGGGGNNNNNNNNNNNNNNNNNNNNGGGUCAACCCAACUCACUGUUCAUUUGUGCCAUUUUUGCAGGAGUGUGCCAGAUGACUUCUUGAUGUACCGGGGUCGACCCAAUCAACCUGUGGGUCGACUCAAACCACACUUUGCUGCAUUCUCAAGGUUAGAUUCAUCCAAAUGAACAAGGCCAUUUAUCCAUUUUCAAUUAAACAAAUAUACUGAGAGUAAUGAACUUAUAAAUGAAGUAUCAAUUUAACUUAUAGCAUGCUCUAGAUAAUUGCUUGUUAAUCAUCAAAAUAACACUAUCAUCCUCAG
RNAcentral lists this long non-coding RNA (963 nucleotides) under Phoenix dactylifera (date palm). RNAcentral's name for it is "long non-coding RNA (PDAC_LNC007882)". Lineage: Eukaryota; Viridiplantae; Streptophyta; Magnoliopsida; Arecales; Arecaceae. The record is from RNAcentral.